GCCUGGGUGGCUCAGCUGGUUAAGCUUCCGACUUCGGCUCAGGUCAUGAUCUGGAGGUUCGUGGGUUCGAGCCCCACGCCAGGCU
RNAcentral lists this transfer RNA (85 nucleotides) under Felis catus (domestic cat). It matches the Rfam family "tRNA". From Rfam's summary of the family: Transfer RNA (tRNA) molecules are approximately 80 nucleotides in length. Their secondary structure includes four short double-helical elements and three loops (D, anti-codon, and T loops). Further hydrogen bonds mediate the characteristic L-shaped molecular structure. tRNAs have two regions of fundamental functional importance: the anti-codon, which is responsible for specific mRNA codon recognition, and the 3' end, to which the tRNAs corresponding amino acid is attached (by aminoacyl-tRNA synthetases). tRNAs cope with the degeneracy of the genetic code in two manners: having more than one tRNA (with a specific anti-codon) for a particular amino acid; and 'wobble' base-pairing, i.e. permitting non-standard base-pairing at the 3rd anti-codon position. The record is from Rfam by way of RNAcentral. Lineage: Eukaryota; Metazoa; Chordata; Mammalia; Carnivora; Felidae.